AAGUCGUAACAAGGUAUCCGUAGGUGAACCUGCGGAUGGAUCAUUAUAGGAUGUUGGGUGAUUGUGAGUGGUUUUAUUAUUAGUAGUUUGAGCGGUGUUGGUUGGGGUGCGAAGCAGGAUUGCCAAGCAAGACAGCCAACAUCGCCUCACGUUAAACUCUAUAAAUCUAACAAUUGCAUACAAAAAAAACAACUUUUAGCAACGGAUCUCUGGGCUCUC
Molecule: unclassified non-coding RNA, 219 nt
Filed under: fungal sp.
Lineage: Eukaryota; Fungi
Description: partial internal transcribed spacer region
Rfam family: Eukaryotic small subunit ribosomal RNA (bases 1-46)
Source: RNAcentral